This 372-nucleotide ribosomal RNA is filed under the name uncultured bacterium. Its description in RNAcentral is "bacterial SSU rRNA". It matches the Rfam family "Bacterial small subunit ribosomal RNA", at positions 525 to 896 of the family's 1533-position model. The record is from RNAcentral.
ACGAAGGGGGCUAGCGUUGUUCGGAAUUACUGGGCGUAAAGGGCGCGUAGGCGGCUCUGUGCGUCGUGCGUGAAAGGCCUGGGCUCAACCCAGGAAUGGCGCUCGAUACGACAGAGCUAGAGUGCAGGAGAGGAUGGUGGAAUUCCCAGUGUAGAGGUGAAAUUCGUAGAUAUUGGGAAGAACACCGGUGGCGAAGGCGGCCAUCUGGACUGCAACUGACGCUGAGGCGCGAAAGCGUGGGGAGCAAACAGGAUUAGAUACCCUGGUAGUCCACGCCGUAAACGAUGUGCGCUAGACGUUGGUGGACCUAGUUCGCCAGUGUCGCAGCUAACGCAUUAAGCGCACCGCCUGGGGAGUACGGCCGCAAGGUUA